GAGGGGGAUAACGAUUGGAAACGAUCGCUAAUACCGCAUGACAUAGCGGAAUCGCAUGGUUCUGUUAUCAAAGAUUUUAUCGCUGAUAGAUGGGCUCGCGUCCGAUUAGGUAGUUGGUGGGGUAACGGCCUACCAAGUCGACGAUCGGUAGCCGGACUGAGAGGUCGAACGGCCACAUUGGGACUGAGACACGGCCCAGACUCCUACGGGAGGCAGCAGUGGGGGAUAUUGCACAAUGGGGGAAACCCUGAUGCAGCGACGCCGCGUGAGGGAAGACGGUCCUCUGGAUUGUAAACCUCUGUCUUCGGGGACGAAACGGGACGGUACCCGAGGAGGAAGCCACGGCUAACUAC
Molecule: ribosomal RNA, 353 nt
Filed under: uncultured bacterium
Lineage: Bacteria
Description: bacterial SSU rRNA
Rfam family: Bacterial small subunit ribosomal RNA
Source: RNAcentral